This 870-nucleotide ribosomal RNA is filed under the name Bacillus sp. (in: firmicutes). Its description in RNAcentral is "bacterial SSU rRNA". It matches the Rfam family "Bacterial small subunit ribosomal RNA", at positions 21 to 875 of the family's 1533-position model. Lineage: Bacteria; Bacillati; Bacillota; Bacilli; Caryophanales; Bacillaceae. The record is from RNAcentral.
GGCUCAGGACGAACGCUGGCGGCGUGCCUAAUACAUGCAAGUCGAGCGAAUGGAAGGGAGCUUGCUCCCGGAAGUUAGCGGCGGACGGGUGAGUAACACGUGGGCAACCUGCCUGUAAGACUGGGAUAACUUCGGGAAACCGGAGCUAAUACCGGAUAAUUUCUUUCUUCUCAUGGAGGAAGGUUGAAAGAUGGCUUCGGCUAUCACUUACAGAUGGGCCCGCGGCGCAUUAGCUAGUUGGUGAGAUAACGGCUCACCAAGGCAACGAUGCGUAGCCGACCUGAGAGGGUGAUCGGCCACACUGGGACUGAGACACGGCCCAGACUCCUACGGGAGGCAGCAGUAGGGAAUCUUCCGCAAUGGACGAAAGUCUGACGGAGCAACGCCGCGUGAGUGAUGAAGGUUUUCGGAUCGUAAAACUCUGUUGUCAGGGAAGAACAAGUAUCGGAGUAACUGCCGGUACCUUGACGGUACCUGACCAGAAAGCCACGGCUAACUACGUGCCAGCAGCCGCGGUAAUACGUAGGUGGCAAGCGUUGUCCGGAAUUAUUGGGCGUAAAGCGCGCGCAGGCGGUCCUUUAAGUCUGAUGUGAAAGCCCACGGCUCAACCGUGGAAGGUCAUUGGAAACUGGGGGACUUGAGUGCAGAAGAGAAGAGCGGAAUUCCACGUGUAGCGGUGAAAUGCGUAGAGAUGUGGAGGAACACCAGUGGCGAAGGCGGCUCUUUGGUCUGUAACUGACGCUGAGGCGCGAAAGCGUGGGGAGCAAACAGGAUUAGAUACCCUGGUAGUCCACGCCGUAAACGAUGAGUGCUAAGUGUUAGAGGGUUUCCGCCCUUUAGUGCUGCAGUAACGCAUAAGCACUCCGCCUG